RNAcentral lists this long non-coding RNA (386 nucleotides) under Salvia miltiorrhiza (redroot sage). Its description in RNAcentral is "long non-coding RNA (SMIL_LNC004068)". The record is from RNAcentral. Lineage: Eukaryota; Viridiplantae; Streptophyta; Magnoliopsida; Lamiales; Lamiaceae.
AAUGAUAUAAAUGUAGUGGUGUGCAAAAUUGAACCGGCCGAUGAAACUUAUCAAAAAUGGACUGAACCGAUCGAUUUUCGACUAGUUUUGAAAUGGUGGUCGGUUGGUUCGAUAAAAUUUUUUAUAAUAUAAAAUUAAAAUUUUCAAUCGGUUGGAUUUUAUGAUUUUUGGCUCGAUUUUGACCGAACCGACCGAAUGGGUAUAUAAAUUAGAAAACCCUAUUUUCUUUUCUACUUUCCCCCCUCUCCCCCACCCCUAAAAAAAAAAAAAAACUACUCGUAGAAAACCCUUAUUUCAUUUUUACUUUGCUUCAUUGUGCCCCCCUCCUCCUCCCCAAUUUCACGUUGCACUCUACAGCCACUCUGCCUCAGCAUGCCUUACUUGCC